This 440-nucleotide ribosomal RNA is filed under the name uncultured bacterium. RNAcentral describes it as "partial 16S ribosomal RNA". It matches the Rfam family "Bacterial small subunit ribosomal RNA", at positions 338 to 795 of the family's 1533-position model. The record is from RNAcentral.
CCUACGGGUGGCAGCAGUGGGGAAUAUUGCACAAUGGGGGAAAGCCUGAUGCAGCGACGCCGCGUGAGUGAAGAAGUAAUUCGUUAUGUAAAGCUCUAUCAGCAGGGGAGAAAAUGACGGUACCUGAGUCAGAAGCCCCGGCUAACUACGUGCCAGCAGCCGCGGUAAUACGUAGGGGGCCAGCGUUAUCCGGAUUUACUGGGUGUAACGGGAGCGUAGACGGCAGUGCAAGUCUGGAGUGAAAGGCGGGGGCUCAACCCCCGAACUGCUCUGGAAACUGUACGGCUGGAGUGCAGUAGAGGUAAGUGGAAUUCGUGGUGUAGCGGUGAAAUGCUUAGAUAUCAGGAGGAACACCAGUGGCGAAGGCGGCUUACUGGACUGUAACUGACGUUGAGGCUCGAAAGUGUGGGGAGCAAACAGGAUUAGAUACCCGAGUAGUC